AGGGCCCUUUAAACUGAAACAUUUGUCAAAAUGAUGUCUUGAUUCACAUGGUAGCAUUUUCUUCUUUUUUCUCAAGAGGGUUAUUAAUCCCCAGGUGUUUCUGAAAGAAUUCCAUCUUAAAACCAAAGUCAUUACAGAGACGCCCAAGUGCAAUUCAAUCUAAGCUUCUCCGAGAAGAGCUUACCGUAAAGGCAGAUUCCUUAUUGUUUUCCCACUUCUUAGUCACAGAGAAAUUCAGAGGGGAAUACUGAAAGGAAGGAACCCCAGAGAAGAAGUCGUGAGAACCGUGGUGUCCAGUGAGCCAAGAUCUCUGGCUGGGCACUGUUGGAUGAAUACAGAGUUGUGAUCCGAACACUGAGGUCUAGAGGCUGAGGACUCUCCGAUCAAGAUAGCGUCAGGUUUGGUGCCUGGCAAGUGCUACUUUCCGCUUCCUGUCGCUCUGUUCUCCAAUGAGAUCAGAGUCCUCACAUGGUGGACAAGCCGAAAAGGAACCAAAGGAAGAGAGAAGUUCCCUCCAGCCCCUUUGCAAGGUGUUCCCAAAAGGCCACCACAACCCUGUUUCAAAUGGAAUGUCACAGAUGGACUACAGAGCCGAAUAGAACUUUCUCCCCAUCCUUAAAAAGCGUUGGAGCUCUUUUUCUGAAGUAUUCUACUCCAGGGGCAUUUAUCCCCUACUGACGCCCUAGCAGAAAGUAUCUAUCUCUUGGUGAUAAUCUGAACAUGGUAUUCUGUGACCAUCGCUAUUUUCACCUUUUAAAGCUAAUAAUUUUAAAGCGUUUUAACUCAAAUAUUUGAUUGGCUUCAGUAUGUUUUAUUGCAGCGCGGAUGACAUCAUUUCUUAACAAUGCCAUUAACACUGGUAAACAUGAAUCCCAGGGAUGAAGAGAUGGAUCCGUGCUAAGAGCACCAACAUGCUGGCAUUAAGACCCCAGUUCAAAUCUCUGUCACCUGUGUUCCACACAAUAAGAGCUAAAAGAGCUGAGUAUGGCUGUGCACACAUAAACCCCCAGCCCUGGAGGGUCAGCGACAAGUGGUAUCUCUGAGAGACCCUGUCUCAGGAGAAAAGGGCAGCCUCUGGCCUCCAUGUGCAACUGUACCUUCAGCCGCAAACCCCAGCACACAAACACAGUGAAGUCUGUUGGCGUAUGUAAUGCUACAUCACUGUUGAGGAAAUACUGGUUUGGUGAGGACCUAAGGUGGGUCUCACAUGCUGACCAACAUCUUUUGGGGUUCUACAGGCAUUCUUACAUUUAAACUAAGCAUAAGUAGUUUUGUUUGGGAAAAGGUCUGGAUUACAAUGCACUUCCCAGGAGAAUGUUGAAUUUUCG
Myodes glareolus (Bank vole) is the source of this 1328-nucleotide long non-coding RNA. RefSeq lists it as uncharacterized. NCBI's taxonomy places the organism in Eukaryota, Metazoa, Chordata, Mammalia, Rodentia, Cricetidae. The record is from RefSeq and is a predicted model, not a curated record.